AAGUCGUAACAAGGUUUCCGUAGGUGAACCUGCGGAAGGAUCAUUACUGAGUUCUGAACGGGUUGUAGCUGGCCUAAAAAAAGGCAUGUGCACGCCUGGCUCAUCCACUCUCAACCACUGUGCACUUUAUGUAAGAAAUGAUGGAUGGCUGGCAGUUUGUCAGUUGAAGUCUUUCUUAUGUUUUUAUAAACAACAUCAUAGUAACAGAAUGUACAAUUGCAUAUAAUGCAUUUAUAUACAACUUUCAGCAACGGAUCUCUUGGCUCUC
RNAcentral lists this unclassified non-coding RNA (268 nucleotides) under air metagenome. Its description in RNAcentral is "partial contains small subunit ribosomal RNA, internal transcribed spacer 1, and 5.8S ribosomal RNA". The stretch from base 1 to 46 matches the Rfam family "Eukaryotic small subunit ribosomal RNA", at positions 1786 to 1831 of the family's 1831-position model. The record is from RNAcentral.